Juglans microcarpa x Juglans regia is the source of this 219-nucleotide long non-coding RNA. RefSeq lists it as uncharacterized. NCBI's taxonomy places the organism in Eukaryota, Viridiplantae, Streptophyta, Magnoliopsida, Fagales, Juglandaceae. The transcript has 3 exons. The record is from RefSeq and is a predicted model, not a curated record.
ACUGAUAUUCCUACAAGAUUGAACUCAACAUUCUUGAUGUUGGAAGCAAUCCAAGAAUAUAAGGCAGCUUUUGAAUUAUUGGGUGAUGAAAACAUUCAAUAUUUCAAAUAUUUUGAUGAGCACAAGGGAUUAGGAAAGCCUAUUGAUGAUAAUUGAGAAAUUGUUGCUACUUUUGUAGAAUUUUUUAGACUCUUCUAUGAGGUGAUAUUGAAAACAUAU